Molecule: long non-coding RNA, 193 nt
Filed under: Callorhinchus milii (elephant shark)
Lineage: Eukaryota; Metazoa; Chordata; Chondrichthyes; Chimaeriformes; Callorhinchidae
Description: Rhabdomyosarcoma 2 associated transcript conserved region 9 (ENSCMIG00000014878.1)
Rfam family: Rhabdomyosarcoma 2 associated transcript conserved region 9
Source: RNAcentral
CUGUCAGAGACAAAGGACCCACUUCGAGUUCAGCCACAUCUCAAGAAAUGUUUUGAAGGGAUCGCUCAACUGACCUUUAACACCGACAAAGAGAUAACUCACAUCCAGUCAGCGGAGAAUGAGAAAGUGGAGCUCGUUCAACGAAUCAUCCCAGCCAGUGCCAGGGGUCUGGUGGAAAAAUGGCUUCAUGAGG